Molecule: long non-coding RNA, 680 nt
Filed under: Drosophila guanche
Lineage: Eukaryota; Metazoa; Arthropoda; Insecta; Diptera; Drosophilidae
Source: RNAcentral
AUAGUCGGACACUUUGACCAAACAUGCGAAUAGAAGGCUGAAUGUUUGAUUUCCAAAGCAGAAACUAAAUUAAUGCUCAACGACUCAAAAGGAGCCUAACAGCAGCAGCAUGUCUCCCCAAUUCCCCUGAAUUGAGGAAAAAAAUAUGCAUUUAACUUUCGUUGUCUUUGAACAACAAUUACUCAGUCGGAGUGGGAGUAGCUGUGAGACCAAGCUGUAGAGUACUGGGAAGACCACAACUUGUCACAGCCUGACACGUUUGUUUGGGCUCCAAGACAAAAUAAAAUCUUUAUUUUCCGCACCGCAAUUGUGGUCUGGUAUUGGGUAGCGAAGCGUAAGGAAAUCACUGCCAAGGAGGACGACAAUUGCAGGAGCAGAGCCCAUUCGAGCAGAAGCCUCAACCCACGUCUAAUUGCGACUGCGUAGGCCACAGCGAAACGGGAAUAAACGAAAAAAGCACACUGCGAGUACGAGUAAUAGAGGAACCCCUUGCCUGACUAGAGGAUUUCGAGCCGUCUCUCUCGCUGGCCAUUUCUGUGACCCUCGGCGGCAGCUUUGAGAUGGAGCCGCGCCAGAGCUGGAGGCGCCACCGCUCUCGAACCAGCUCCGGCCCCGUGCAUCUUGGCGCAGCACUUCUUGCGUUGGCCUUGGUGUGGACCCACUCCCCCAGCCCCGUGCUC